RNA transcript from Musa acuminata AAA Group (dessert banana), 1081 nucleotides. RefSeq lists it as uncharacterized. The record is from RefSeq and is a predicted model, not a curated record. Lineage: Eukaryota; Viridiplantae; Streptophyta; Magnoliopsida; Zingiberales; Musaceae. The transcript has 5 exons.
GGUUUAGCUGUGAGGGGAUAUGGAUCCGACCCGCUUGAGCUCCGGAUCCGGUAGUAUCUGAAACGUGACCAAACUAUGGGCAACGCAGAAUGCUCGGUGGGCCCGGCAAGUCAAGGGAGGGAGCGAUGGGAUCUCAAGACUCGGCGGUGGUCGUGAGGCGGUGGCCGGCGAUUGGGGUGUUGGUCUUGACGUUGUCCUGGUGUUCGAUCCCGACGGCGCGCGGGGAAGCGGCGGAUGGAGAAGGUGGGGAUGGUAUCGCCGCCGAAGGAGGAGUGAGGGGAUGCCGACUUCUGCUAAGCGUCCAAGAAGCCAAGGGGAACGCCUCCUUCCGUUGCUCUCCCUCUGGUCUCUGCCUCCCCUGCCAGUACUCCGAGAAGAAUGAUGACAAAUAUCGCUGCAGUGAAACUGGCUAUCGGGUGCCUUUGAAAUGUGUACAAAUAAAAGAUGGAACAGAGGAGGCAAGUAGGCUCAGAACCCGAAGAAGCCUCUUAUACCUUCAAGAACAUGCAUCAGGAGUGCAAAAAAGACUGCUUAUUACGAUAAGUAACUACAAAUGGAGAAAACUGUUGGCCGAAUCAUCAAAAUUGGAGAACGAGGAAGAAAACUAUAUUACUUAUAGGAGCUGUGUGCCAGUUGAUAGCAAUGAGAAGUUGUCUGUCCUUGGUUUCGAGGUGAUCAUGUUGGGGUUGUUGCUUAUAAGUGGGUCAGUUGUGUACUUACGGCAAAAGCGUACUGCAUUCAUGUCAGGAGUUGCACGGAUGAGGGUAUCCACAAGCUCCCCUAGGUUCUGAUACACCGACAGAACAAGGAAUGAACAACAGUAUAUUCGUCCAAACAAGAAUUUAAGCUGAGAAGUAAGAGUGGACUGUGUUCAUCUUCUUCCUCUCAAUCUGAACUCCGACUCUGUGUGCUAUUAUUUACCACGAGAAGGAUUUUGCCAUCACUAUUUCUUGAUCCCCAGGAAUCGGACUACUGAGUAUAAGAUGUCAAGAUGAACGAACUACAGCUCAGAGUUUGAAGUUGCUAAGCAAUUCAAACCCUGCAACAGAAAGCCGUGUACUCCAUAUCUGCUGACUCUUGC